CCUCGAGUGGUGGAUCACUCGGCUCGUGGGUCGAUGAAGAACGCAGCUAACUGCGUGCAGACGUGUGAACUGCAGGACACAUGAACACCGACGUUUCGAACGCAAAUGGCGGUCUAAAGUAAAUUUUAGACCACGUCUGGCUGAGGGUCGGAUUAUAAAACAAA
Molecule: ribosomal RNA, 164 nt
Filed under: Isotoma sp. KHP-2008
Lineage: Eukaryota; Metazoa; Arthropoda; Collembola; Entomobryomorpha; Isotomidae
Description: 5.8S ribosomal RNA
Rfam family: 5.8S ribosomal RNA (bases 6-150)
About the family: 5.8S ribosomal RNA (5.8S rRNA) is a component of the large subunit of the eukaryotic ribosome. It is transcribed by RNA polymerase I as part of the 45S precursor that also contains 18S and 28S rRNA.
Source: RNAcentral